CCCUUAGAUGUUCUGGGCCGCACGCGCGCUACACUGAUGCAUUCAACGAGUUUUACCUUGGCCGAGAGGCCUGGGCAAUCUUUUAAACCUGCAUCGUGAUAGGGAUAGAUUAUUGCAAUUAUUAAUCUUGAACGAGGAAUUCCUAGUAAACGCGAAUCAUCAAUUCGCAUUGAUUACGUCCCUGCCCUUUGUACACACCGCCCGUCGCACCUACCGAUUGAGUGGUCCGGUGAGGCUUUGGGAUCUGAGCGGAAAGAGCGUUUCGCUGUCUCUGCCCGGAAAACUCAGUCGAACCUUAUCAUUUAGAGGAAGGAGAAGUCGUAACA
Molecule: ribosomal RNA, 326 nt
Filed under: uncultured eukaryote
Lineage: Eukaryota
Description: partial 18S ribosomal RNA
Rfam family: Eukaryotic small subunit ribosomal RNA
Source: RNAcentral